Molecule: ribosomal RNA, 1373 nt
Filed under: uncultured bacterium
Lineage: Bacteria
Description: bacterial SSU rRNA
Rfam family: Bacterial small subunit ribosomal RNA
Source: RNAcentral
GAUGAACGCUGGCGGCGUGCCUAAUACAUGCAAGUCGAGCGAACAGACAAGGAGCUUGCUCCUUUGACGUUAGCGGCGGACGGGUGAGUAACACGUGGGUAACCUACCUAUAAGACUGGGAUAACUUCGGGAAACCGGAGCUAAUACCGGAUAAUAUUUCGAACCGCAUGGUUCGAUAGUGAAAGAUGGUUUUGCUAUCACUUAUAGAUGGACCCGCGCCGUAUUAGCUAGUUGGUAAGGUAACGGCUUACCAAGGCGACGAUACGUAGCCGACCUGAGAGGGUGAUCGGCCACACUGGAACUGAGACACGGUCCAGACUCCUACGGGAGGCAGCAGUAGGGAAUCUUCCGCAAUGGGCGAAAGCCUGACGGAGCAACGCCGCGUGAGUGAUGAAGGUCUUCGGAUCGUAAAACUCUGUUAUUAGGGAAGAACAUACGUGUAAGUAACUAUGCACGUCUUGACGGUACCUAAUCAGAAAGCCACGGCUAACUACGUGCCAGCAGCCGCGGUAAUACGUAGGUGGCAAGCGUUAUCCGGAAUUAUUGGGCGUAAAGCGCGCGUAGGCGGUUUUUUAAGUCUGAUGUGAAAGCCCACGGCUCAACCGUGGAGGGUCAUUGGAAACGUGGAAAACUUGAGUGCAGAAGAGGAAAGUGGAAUUCCAUGUGUAGCGGUGAAAUGCGCAGAGAUAUGGAGGAACACCAGUGGCGAAGGCGACUUUCUGGUCUGUAACUGACGCUGAUGUGCGAAAGCGUGGGGAUCAAACAGGAUUAGAUACCCUGGUAGUCCACGCCGUAAACGAUGAGUGCUAAGUGUUAGGGGGUUUCCGCCCCUUAGUGCUGCAGCUAACGCAUUAAGCACUCCGCCUGGGGAGUACGACCGCAAGGUUGAAACUCAAAGGAAUUGACGGGGACCCGCACAAGCGGUGGAGCAUGUGGUCUAAUUCGAAGCAACGCGAAGAACCUUACCAAAUCUUGACAUCCUUUGACAACUCUAGAGAUAGAGCUUUCCCCUUCGGGGGACAAAGUGACAGGUGGUGCAUGGUUGUCGUCAGCUCGUGUCGUGAGAUGUUGGGUUAAGUCCCGCAACGAGCGCAACCCUUAAGCUUAGUUGCCAUCAUUAAGUUGGGCACUCUAAGUUGACUGCCGGUGACAAACCGGAGGAAGGUGGGGAUGACGUCAAAUCAUCAUGCCCCUUAUGAUUUGGGCUACACACGUGCUACAAUGGACAAUACAAAGGGCAGCGAAACCGCGAGGUCAAGCAAAUCCCAUAAAGUUGUUCUCAGUUCGGAUUGUAGUCUGCAACUCGACUACAUGAAGCUGGAAUCGCUAGCAAUCGUAGAUCAGCAUGCUACGGUGAAUACGUUCCCGGGUCU